RNAcentral lists this ribosomal RNA (165 nucleotides) under uncultured bacterium. RNAcentral's name for it is "partial 16S rRNA". It matches the Rfam family "Bacterial small subunit ribosomal RNA", at positions 355 to 511 of the family's 1533-position model. The record is from RNAcentral.
UAGGGUAUCUUCGGCAAUGGACGAAAGUCUGACCGAGCAACGCCGCGUGAGUGAAGAAGGUUUUCGGAUCGUAAAACUCUGUUGGUAGAGAAGAACGUUGGUGAGAGUGGAAAGCUCAUCAAGUGACGGUAACUACCCAGAAAGGGACGGCUAACUACGUGCCAC